UGCGCCUUGCCAGCCCGCUCAGAAACUUAAGGAAUUGACGGGGGCCCGCACAAGCGGAGGAACAUGUGGUUUAAUUCGAUGAUACGCGAGGAACCUUACCUGGGCUAGAACGCAUUCGGAAUCAGGCCGAAAGGCCUGCGCCAGCGAUGGCCGCUUGCGAGGUGCUGCAUGGUUGUCGUCAGCUCGUGCCGUGAGGUGUCGGGUUAAGUCCCAUAACGAGCGCAACCCCUACUGCUAGUUGCCAGCGGGUCAUGCCGGGGACUCUAGCGGAACUGCCAGCGUAAGCUGCGAGGAAGGUGGGGAUGACGUCAAAUCAGCACGGCCCUUACGUCCAGGGCUACACACGUGUUACAAUGGCCGGUACAGAGGGCAGCCACCCCGCGAGGGGGCGCGAAUCCCGAAAGCCGGUCCCAGUUCGGAUCGGAGUCUGCAACCCGACUCCGUGAAGCUGGAUUCGCUAGUAAUCGCGCAUCAGCCACGGCGCGGUGAAUACGUUCCCGGGCCUU
Molecule: ribosomal RNA, 506 nt
Filed under: uncultured Rikenellaceae bacterium
Lineage: Bacteria; Pseudomonadati; Bacteroidota; Bacteroidia; Bacteroidales; Rikenellaceae
Description: bacterial SSU rRNA
Rfam family: Bacterial small subunit ribosomal RNA
Source: RNAcentral